Non-coding RNA from Pelobates cultripes (western spadefoot toad), 359 nucleotides. The record is from the annotation of a GenBank genome assembly. NCBI's taxonomy places the organism in Eukaryota, Metazoa, Chordata, Amphibia, Anura, Pelobatidae.
GUUGGCAUUAGUAAUCAUUGCACAUUUUUAUAAUUUUAUUGUCGUGGUGUCAGCUAUGAGGCCGGGCAUGUCCGGUCUAGAGGGAGCCAGUGACUGUUAUCUUGGAGUGCAGAUCAGGCAUGUGUAGUUUUGUGUGUGUGUGUGUGUGUGUGUGUUUUUCAGGGUAUUGACCUAAAAGGCGAGGUUUUGGGUGUAUGGUAUGAGGUCUGUUGUGUCCCCCUAUUUGGUCUGUCUGUCGAGUCCCCAGUAUGGGAGUGAGAGCUGUCAUUGCAGACGUGAGUUGUCUCCGGCUGGUGCACAUCCCCUAUUGAGGGCUACCCCCAACCCCUUGUGUGAGUAUGUCAGUCUAUGUGUAUAAG